CUUCGUUAUCCCAUGGACUGCAGCACGCCAGGCUUCCCUGUCUUCACCAUCUCCUGGAGCUUGUUCAAACUCAAGUCCAUUGAGUCGGUUAUGCCAUCUGAUCCUCUGUCGUCCCCUUCUCCUCCUGCCUUCAAUCUUUCCCAGCAUCAGGGUCUUUUUUAAUGAGUCAGUUCUUCGCAUCAGAUGACCAAAGUAUCAGAGCUUCAGCUUCAGCAGCAGUUCUUCCAAUGGAUAUUCAGCGGUUGAUAAGGAUUAUACUUACAUGGUAAGAGAGUGUAAAAAUAACCUGCUCCAGAAAAGAAGUAUGGAAGUAGUCUCACCAGGCCCUGCACAUUGUUAACCUCUGGGAAUGAACUUGGAGAUCUUAUCUCCCCGGACCGAGAAUCAAACCCAUGCCCCCUGCAGUGGAAGUGCAGAGUCCCAACCACUGGACUGCCAGGGAAUUCCCACAGGUCUAGUUUUAAUAGUUACAAAAUAUUCUUCAUUCAA
Molecule: long non-coding RNA, 489 nt
Organism: Bos taurus (domestic cattle)
Lineage: Eukaryota; Metazoa; Chordata; Mammalia; Artiodactyla; Bovidae
Source: Ensembl